This is a long non-coding RNA of Penaeus monodon (black tiger shrimp), 703 nucleotides long. RefSeq lists it as uncharacterized. The transcript has 2 exons. The record is from RefSeq and is a predicted model, not a curated record. NCBI's taxonomy places the organism in Eukaryota, Metazoa, Arthropoda, Malacostraca, Decapoda, Penaeidae.
AGAGAGGGAGAGAAGACGCAAGCGCAGCCGAGGUUAGAGGAGCGUGGCGGCGUCCUCCCCCCUCUCCCCCCCCUUAUCGAACGCCAUCAACCCCCUUCCCUCCCCACCGCCGUCACGCCAAAACCUCCUAUUUCCCUCUCCUACGGCCUUGCCCCUCGUCGCCCCUCUUGCCCCCGCGUGCCCUCGGACUCCAAGGCCCCUAGGGUGCGUUGAGCAACGCCCCCGAGGAGCCAAGGGGGUUUACUUUCGAGAGAAGCGGCGGAUUUGUCCCGUGGUCCGCGGGGCCGAGGGGGACGAGGCUGCGAGACCACCGCUUUAUAUUCGUUUCUUCCCGGGAUUCCUCGCGCCUACGGAAAUUCGCUCUAUUUUAACACUUACCAGGUAUAUAGUGUGAUCUCUUGGAUAUGGCAUCGUCAGAGUCGAUGUCUAAGGGCCUCUUCCUCGAGUCCGGGGUGCCGGGAGACGGGACGCACUCCUCCAUGGUACUGAUUCAAGGACAACGUGGGUAGCAUUAUGUGCUUCAAUCGUCUGACUUCGCAAAUUUCCUAAAAAUACGACUUACGAAAGCAUUACUCCACAAAUUUGCAGUGCUGAUCUAUUGAAUAUUUUCAAUUAAUUUGAAAAUGUUUCCACAUGUAUAGUAAGCUAUGAUGGCCGUGGUACUAUUGUUUGAUUAACAAAAAUAAAUAAAAGUUAAAGAAUA